UUUUUUUUUUUUUUUUUGAAGCCACAGUUCACUGGUGUUGGCGGAUUUAAAAUACUUGCCUGGGGUCGCAACACAGGUUAAGGCCAUAUCCGAGAUGAGAAUCAGAAGCGCACGCGUCUGCAGGUUCAACUGGCUCCUUGGGCCAGUGGAGGGAUGGAGGCAGCUGCUCAACUUUUAACAGGCAGCCGCAACCAGACACACAGUAGGUACUCAAUUAGUGCCUUUUAGACGAUACGUGAUUUAGUAGCCACCAGUGCCCUGUCCACCGCGCAGCCCAUCCGCGGCGGAGCUCUGCUUACGGCUAACUCUGGACUAAUCAGCGCCCUUCCGGACUCCGCUGAUGGAACAGUACCGUAAAGUCAGCACCGUUGUGAACGGGGCUUUAGAAAAAUCACCCAGAACGUUCCAAGGAAAAUUACCCCGUGAAAAACUUGUGUCUGUUCAUUCCUCUCUCGCAGACAAUUCAGAGCUGUUCAGAGGGAGCCCUAAUUGCACAGAAAUGCUGACGGGGUGAGCUGGUCGUGAUCUAAGCAGGGAUUUGGAGGCAAAAAGCGGCAACAUUUGACUGACAGUAAGUGGCGGAGAAGAUGCCGAAAUCCAGUUCCUGGACACUCGGGAGGUGCUCUUUUACACCGUCUCCCCGUGAAAUUUUGCACUGGGACCACCCAGGGCUUCCCUCUAGUAGAAAUGAAGCCAGAUUUCCACCCCGAGCUGAAAUGCUAACAUCUUCCUCCACUUAAGAGCUUUACUUCUUCAAUUAUUUUAGAUAUAGCCUCAUACCUUUUAAAAAUUUUCCCAUGUAUAUGAAGGAGUUUAAAAAUUCUUAAUCACUAUAUCUCAGAGUAAGGACCCUAUUUAUUCUCAAACCUUGUCUACAACAGAGAUCUUGAACUUGUGGCCUACCUGCAUGUGUAGGACAAUAGUUCUUACCAGGUACUCAAUUUAUCAAUUCUCAACGGUUUUUUGUAAUCUUACCGUCUCUUAAAACUAUAAAAUCUA
Molecule: long non-coding RNA, 999 nt
Organism: Felis catus (domestic cat)
Lineage: Eukaryota; Metazoa; Chordata; Mammalia; Carnivora; Felidae
Exons: 3
Source: RefSeq, a predicted model, not a curated record